RNAcentral lists this ribosomal RNA (428 nucleotides) under uncultured Pseudomonadota bacterium. RNAcentral describes it as "bacterial SSU rRNA". It matches the Rfam family "Bacterial small subunit ribosomal RNA", at positions 355 to 776 of the family's 1533-position model. Lineage: Bacteria; Pseudomonadati; Pseudomonadota. The record is from RNAcentral.
UGGGGAAUUUUGGACAAUGGGCGAAAGCCUGAUCCAGCAACGCCGCGUGAGUGAUGAAGGCCUUCGGGUCGUAAAGCUCUGUCGGAGGGAACGAAUAAAGGCCACCUAAUAGGCGGCCAUAUGACGGUACUCUCAAAGGAAGCAACGGCUAACUCUGUGCCAGCAGCCGCGGUAAGACAGAGGUUGCAAGCGUUGUUCGGAAUCACUGGGCGUAAAGGGCGCGUAGGCGGUUGAAUAUGUCUAAUGUGAAAGCCCCCGGCUUAACUGGGGAAGUGCAUUAGAAACUAUUCGACUGGAGUGCAGAAGAGGAUGGCAGAAUUCCCGGAGUAGAGGUGAAAUUCGUAGAUACCGGGAGGAAUACCUGAGGCGAAGGCGGCCAUCUGGUCUGUAACUGACGCUGAAGCGCGAAAGCACGGGGAGCAAACAGG